This 871-nucleotide long non-coding RNA is filed under the name Fukomys damarensis (Damara mole-rat). RNAcentral describes it as "lncRNA (ENSFDAG00000030847.1)". The record is from RNAcentral. Lineage: Eukaryota; Metazoa; Chordata; Mammalia; Rodentia; Bathyergidae.
CAAAUAUUUUCUAUAAAUAAUCUGGGUCCUUCAAGAUAAAAAGACAAAGGUAUUUUGAAAUCUUUGCUAUUGAAGUGACUUCAACUGUUUUGACCUCAAGACCUUGACACACUCUAUUUUUUCUUCUGACAGGUUCCCAGCCUGGUGGAAGCCACUCCUCCCCCAGGUCUCAGCUGAGAGGUGUGGCACAGGAGGCACCAUUGUUUAUCAAAGGGAUGAUUACCAGUGUAGUGGUUAGAAAUGACCAACUUUCCUUGCUUAGGCCACGAAAUACCUUCACAGAUAUGCUCAAGAUACAAAAUAUGCAGAAACUAUUUAGAAAAGGGACAUAUUAUAAACAGUAAAGUGACAAAAAUAUAAUGAUGACACAAUAAUAGAAUUAAUGAGACUUCAAAAAGUUUCUUAUGCUAGGCCAGGGCUUCUAAAAAAUGCACUGUUGAUGUAAUUUUGGGCCAAAUAGCAUCUCGCCACGGUGGACUUCCUGUGCAGUGUAGCCUCUCUGGCAUCACCCUGGGUUCUACUCCAUGGAUUCCAGGAACACCCCUCCAGUUGUGACAACCAAAAUUAUACCCUGACAUUGCCAAAAUGUUCCUGGGGGGUGGGGUAAAGUUGUCCCUAUGGAGAACAAUCACACCUCUGAGUUAACAAUAAAAAAAAGGCAAACCACAGGAAGCAAAAAUCAGAAUCAGAAACUCUAAUGCUGCUCACGAUUUCCUUUUGCUGCCUCAUCAACCUGAAGAAUCGCAUAAGGCAGGAGAGCCGUGUCCUUGUUUCACAUGUAGAAAAGCAGGCAGGACAAAAACCAGAACCACUUCAAAGCAACUGCAGGCACUGUUUUUCGGCAGGCUGGGGACCAUUGCUCUCAUCCUGA